UGGCCCGUUGGUCAAGCGGUUAAGACACCGCCCUUUCACGGCGGUAACACGGGUUCGAAUCCCGUACGGGUC
Molecule: transfer RNA, 72 nt
Filed under: Shouchella lehensis G1
Lineage: Bacteria; Bacillati; Bacillota; Bacilli; Caryophanales; Bacillaceae
Description: Bacillus lehensis G1 tRNA-Glu
Rfam family: tRNA
About the family: Transfer RNA (tRNA) molecules are approximately 80 nucleotides in length. Their secondary structure includes four short double-helical elements and three loops (D, anti-codon, and T loops).
Source: RNAcentral